Perca fluviatilis (European perch) is the source of this 148-nucleotide long non-coding RNA. RefSeq lists it as uncharacterized. Lineage: Eukaryota; Metazoa; Chordata; Actinopteri; Perciformes; Percidae. The transcript is spliced from 4 exons. The record is from RefSeq and is a predicted model, not a curated record.
AUCAGACUGUCGGCUGCAUCUUGUUGUGGACAAACCUCCUGCCCAGGUCCCUGCUUUCCUGGUUGGACUCAGUUCGGCUCUCGAUGUUUCAGCUUCAACAUCCAGGGAAAGAGUUGGAUCGAUGCAGAGAACUUCUGCAACUCUGAUG